GUCCAGACUCCUACGGGAGGCAGCAGUGAGGAAUAUUGGUCAAUGGGCGCGAGCCUGAACCAGCCAAGUCGCGUGAGGGAGGACGGCCCUACGGGUUGUAAACCUCUUUUGCCGGGGAGCAACGGGCGUCACGUGUGGCGCCACUGAGAGUACCCGGAGAAAAAGCAUCGGCUAACUCCGUGCCAGCAGCCGCGGUAAUACGGAGGAUGCGAGCGUUAUCCGGUUUUAUUGGGUUUAAAGGGUGCGUAGGCGGUCCGUUAAAUCAGGGGUCAAUGGGGGGGACUCAACCCCUUCCCGCCAUUGAAACUGGCGCUCUUGAGUGGAAGAGAAGUAUGCGGAAUGCGUGGUGUAGCGGUGAAAUGCAUAGAUAUCACGCAGAACCCCGAUUGCGAAGGCAGCAUGCCGGCUUCCGACUGACGCUGAAGCACGAAAGCGUGGGGAUCGAACAGGAUUAGAUACCCGAGUAAA
Molecule: ribosomal RNA, 468 nt
Filed under: uncultured bacterium
Lineage: Bacteria
Description: bacterial SSU rRNA
Rfam family: Bacterial small subunit ribosomal RNA
Source: RNAcentral